Molecule: ribosomal RNA, 1553 nt
Filed under: Escherichia coli
Lineage: Bacteria; Pseudomonadati; Pseudomonadota; Gammaproteobacteria; Enterobacterales; Enterobacteriaceae
Description: bacterial SSU rRNA
Rfam family: Bacterial small subunit ribosomal RNA
Source: RNAcentral
AAAUUGAAGAGUUUGAUCAUGGCUCAGAUUGAACGCUGGCGGCAGGCCUAACACAUGCAAGUCGAACGGUAACAGAAAGCAGCUUGCUGCUUUGCUGACGAGUGGCGGACGGGUGAGUAAUGUCUGGGAAACUGCCUGAUGGAGGGGGAUAACUACUGGAAACGGUAGCUAAUACCGCAUAACGUCGCAAGACCAAAGAGGGGGACCUUCGGGCCUCUUGCCAUCGGAUGUGCCCAGAUGGGAUUAGCUUGUUGGUGGGGUAACGGCUCACCAAGGCGACGAUCCCUAGCUGGUCUGAGAGGAUGACCAGCCACACUGGAACUGAGACACGGUCCAGACUCCUACGGGAGGCAGCAGUGGGGAAUAUUGCACAAUGGGCGCAAGCCUGAUGCAGCCAUGCCGCGUGUAUGAAGAAGGCCUUCGGGUUGUAAAGUACUUUCAGCGGGGAGGAAGGGAGUAAAGUUAAUACCUUUGCUCAUUGACGUUACCCGCAGAAGAAGCACCGGCUAACUCCGUGCCAGCAGCCGCGGUAAUACGGAGGGUGCAAGCGUUAAUCGGAAUUACUGGGCGUAAAGCGCACGCAGGCGGUUUGUUAAGUCAGAUGUGAAAUCCCCGGGCUCAACCUGGGAACUGCAUCUGAUACUGGCAAGCUUGAGUCUCGUAGAGGGGGGUAGAAUUCGAGGUGUAGCGGUGAAAUGCGUAGAGAUCUGGAGGAAUACCGGUGGCGAAGGCGGCCCCCUGGACGAAGACUGACGCUCAGGUGCGAAAGCGUGGGGAGCAAACAGGAUUAGAUACCCUGGUAGUCCACGCCGUAAACGAUGUCGACUUGGAGGUUGUGCCCUUGAGGCGUGGCUUCCGGAGCUAACGCGUUAAGUCGACCGCCUGGGGAGUACGGCCGCAAGGUUAAAACUCAAAUGAAUUGACGGGGGCCCGCACAAGCGGUGGAGCAUGUGGUUUAAUUCGAUGCAACGCGAAGAACCUUACCUGGUCUUGACAUCCACAGAACUUUCCAGAGAUGGAUUGGUGCCUUCGGGAACUGUGAGACAGGUGCUGCAUGGCUGUCGUCAGCUCGUGUUGUGAAAUGUUGGGUUAAGUCCCGCAACGAGCGCAACCCUUAUCCUUUGUUGCCAGCGGUCCGGCCGGGAACUCAAAGGAGACUGCCAGUGAUAAACUGGAGGAAGGUGGGGAUGACGUCAAGUCAUCAUGGCCCUUACGACCAGGGCUACACACGUGCUACAAUGGCGCAUACAAAGAGAAGCGACCUCGCGAGAGCAAGCGGACCUCAUAAAGUGCGUCGUAGUCCGGAUUGAGUCUGCAACUCGACUCCAUGAAGUCGGAAUCGCUAGUAAUCGUGGAUCAGAAUGCCACGGUGAAUACGUUCCCGGGCCUUGUACACACCGCCCGUCACACCAUGGGAGUGGGUUGCAAAAGAAGUAGGUAGCUUAACCUUCGGGAGGGCGCUUACCACUUUGUGAUUCAUGACUGGGGUGAAGUCGUAACAAGGUAACCGUAGGGGAACCUGCGGUUGGAUCACCUCCUUACCUUAAAGAAGC